CCAGAGAUUUCCGAAUGGGGGAACCCACUAUCUUUAGUCGGAUAGUAUCCUUACGUGAAUACAUAGCGUAAGGAAGGCAGACCCAGGGAACUGAAACAUCUAAGUACCUGGAGGAAGAGAAAGAAAAAUCGAUUUCCUGAGUAGCGGCGAGCGAAACGGAAAGAGCCCAAACCAAGAAGCUUGCUUCUUGGGGUUGUAGGACACUCUAUACGGAGUUACAAAAGAAAGUUAUAAAUGAAGCGGUCUGGAAAGGCCCGCCAAAGACGGUAACAGCCCGGUAGUUGAAAUGGCUUUCCCUCCAGAGUGGAUCCUGAGUACGGCGGAACACGUGAAAUUCCGUCGGAAUCCGGGAGGACCAUCUCCCAAGGCUAAAUACUCCCUAGUGACCGAUAGUGAACCAGUACCGUGAGGGAAAGGUGAAAAGCACCCCGGAAGGGGAGUGAAACAGUUCCUGAAACCGUGUGCCUACAAGUAGUUAGAGCCCGUUAAUGGGUGAUAGCGUGCCUUUUGUAGAAUGAACCGGCGAGUUACGAUUUGUUGCAAGGUUAAGCGGAAAAAGCGGAGCCGUAGCG
Molecule: ribosomal RNA, 572 nt
Filed under: Listeria monocytogenes
Lineage: Bacteria; Bacillati; Bacillota; Bacilli; Caryophanales; Listeriaceae
Description: partial 23S ribosomal RNA
Rfam family: Bacterial large subunit ribosomal RNA
Source: RNAcentral